GAUGAACGCUAGCGGGAGGCUUAAUACAUGCAAGUCGAGGGGUAACAUUAAUGUUUACAUUAGAUGACGACCGGCGCACGGGUGAGUAACGCGUACACUACCUACCUUAUACAGGGGGAUAGCCAUUGGAAACGAUGAGUAAUACCCCAUAGUCCCGCGAGGGUAAAGCUUCGGCGGUAUAAGAUGGGUGUGCGUUCCAUUAGCUAGUUGGUAAGGUAACGGCUUACCAAGGCGACGAUGGGUAGGGGGCGUGAGAGCGUGACCCCCCACACGGGUACUGAGACACGGACCCGACUCCUACGGGAGGCAGCAGUAAGGAAUAUUGGACAAUGGAGGCAACUCUGAUCCAGCCAUCCCGCGUGAAGGAUGACGGCCCUAUGGGUUGUAAACUUCUUUUAGACAGGAAGAAUGGCAUUUAUUUAUGAAUGUUUGACGGUACUGUCAGAAUAAGCACCGGCUAACUCCG
This 466-nucleotide ribosomal RNA is filed under the name uncultured Saprospiraceae bacterium. RNAcentral describes it as "bacterial SSU rRNA". It matches the Rfam family "Bacterial small subunit ribosomal RNA", at positions 28 to 505 of the family's 1533-position model. The record is from RNAcentral. Lineage: Bacteria; Pseudomonadati; Bacteroidota; Saprospiria; Saprospirales; Saprospiraceae.